RNAcentral lists this unclassified non-coding RNA (400 nucleotides) under soil metagenome. RNAcentral describes it as "partial contains 5.8S ribosomal RNA, internal transcribed spacer 2, and large subunit ribosomal RNA". The stretch from base 1 to 122 matches the Rfam family "5.8S ribosomal RNA", at positions 35 to 154 of the family's 154-position model. The record is from RNAcentral.
GAUGAAGAACGUAGCGAAAUGCGAUACUUGGUGUGAAUUGCAGAAUCCCGUGAACCAUCGAGUCUUUGAACGCAAGUUGCGCCUCAAGCCAUUAGGUUGAGGGCACGUCUGCCUGGGCGUCACAUAUCGUUGCCUGAUGCCAGUUUCCUCGUGAUGGGUGACUGUGCCGGGCGAAUGAUGGCUUCCCGUGAGCAUUGUUGCCUCAUGGUUGGUUGAAAAUUGAGUCCUUGGUAGGGAGCGCCGUGAUAGAUGGUGGUUGAGUGACGAACGAGACCCAAUCAUGUGAGACCCCUACCGAAUUUGGCCUUCAUGACCCACAUGCGUCUUUGGAACGCUCAUGACGAGACCUCAGGUCAGGCGGGGCUACCCGCUGAGUUUAAGCAUAUCAAUAAGCGGAGGA